GAUGAACGCUGGCGGCGUGCCUAACACAUGCAAGUCGAACGAAGCUUGACGGAUGAUUUCUUCGGAAUGAAACCAGAUAUGACUUAGUGGCGGACGGGUGAGUAACACGUGAGCAACCUGCCUUUCAGAGGGGGAUAACGGCUGGAAACGGUCGCUAAUACCGCAUGAUGUGUUCGGAUGGCAUCAUCUGAACAUCAAAGAUUUAUCGCUGAAAGAUGGGCUCGCGUCUGAUUAGAUAGUUGGUGGGGUAACGGCCUACCAAGUCUACGAUCAGUAGCCGGACUGAGAGGAUGAACGGCCAAAUUGGGACUGAGAGACGGCAGAGACUCCUACGGGAGGCAGCAGUGGGGAAUAUUGCACAAUGGGGGAAACCCUGAUGCAGCAACGCCGAGUGAAGGAUGACGGUUUUCGGAUUGUAAACUUCUUUUCUUAGUGACGAAGACAGUGACGGUAGCUAAGGAAUAAGCAUCGGCUAACUACGUG
RNAcentral lists this ribosomal RNA (483 nucleotides) under uncultured bacterium. Its description in RNAcentral is "partial 16S ribosomal RNA". It matches the Rfam family "Bacterial small subunit ribosomal RNA", at positions 28 to 507 of the family's 1533-position model. The record is from RNAcentral.